GACGAACGCUGGCGGCGUGCCUAAUACAUGCAAGUUGAGCGCUGAAGGUUGGUACUUGUACCAACUGGAUGAGCAGCGAACGGGUGAGUAACGCGUGGGGAAUCUGCCUUUGAGCGGGGGACAACAUUUGGAAACGAAUGCUAAUACCGCAUAAAAACUUUAAACACAAGUUUUAAGUUUGAAAGAUGCAAUUGCAUCACUCAAAGAUGAUCCCGCGUUGUAUUAGCUAGUUGGUGAGGUAAAGGCUCACCAAGGCGAUGAUACAUAGCCGACCUGAGAGGGUGAUCGGCCACAUUGGGACUGAGACACGGCCCAAACUCCUACGGGAGGCAGCAGUAGGGAAUCUUCGGCAAUGGACGAAAGUCUGACCGAGCAACGCCGCGUGAGUGAAGAAGGUUUUCGGAUCGUAAAACUCUGUUGGUAGAGAAGAACGUUGAUGAGAGUGGAAAGCUCAUCAAGUGACGGUAACUACCCAGAAAGGGACGGCUAACUACG
This 495-nucleotide ribosomal RNA is filed under the name uncultured bacterium. RNAcentral describes it as "partial 16S ribosomal RNA". It matches the Rfam family "Bacterial small subunit ribosomal RNA", at positions 28 to 505 of the family's 1533-position model. The record is from RNAcentral.